UACGUAGGGACCAAGCGUUGUUCGGAUUUACUGGGCGUAAAGGGCGCGUAGGCGGUAUGACAAGUCACUUGUGAAAUCUCCGGCUUAACUCGGAACGGCCAAGUGAAACUGUCAAACUAGAGUGCGGAAGGGCAAUCGGAAUUCUUGGUGUAGGCGGUGAAAUGCGUAGAUAUCAAGAGGAACACCUGAGGUGAAGACGGGUGCUGGCCGACACUGACGCUGAUGCGCGAAAGCCAGGGGAGGCAAAACGGG
This 252-nucleotide ribosomal RNA is filed under the name uncultured bacterium. Its description in RNAcentral is "partial 16S ribosomal RNA". It matches the Rfam family "Bacterial small subunit ribosomal RNA", at positions 524 to 776 of the family's 1533-position model. The record is from RNAcentral.